RNAcentral lists this ribosomal RNA (1149 nucleotides) under Empoasca vitis (smaller green leafhopper). RNAcentral describes it as "16S ribosomal RNA". Lineage: Eukaryota; Metazoa; Arthropoda; Insecta; Hemiptera; Cicadellidae. The record is from RNAcentral.
UUAUUCUUCUUAAUUUAAAUUAUAAUUUAAAUUUAAUUUUAUUAAUUAGCCAACUUUAUUACUGUAAAGAUUUUGUAAUUUAGUUUAAAUAAAAUUAUUAGUACCUUUUGUAUCAGGGUUUAUUAAUUAAUUAAAUAUUUUUAUUUCUCGAAAUUUAAACAUCUAUUAUUAAUUAUUUUUUUUUUGUUGUAUAAAAAUUAUUAAGUUAAGAAUAGUAACUAAAAGUUAAUCGUUUUUUAUAUAUAUCUAGUUAUUUUAGACAAAAUUUAAUUUUAAUUUAUAAAUAAAUUUAUUUUAUAAGGGAUAAUCUUUAUAUUUUUUUAUAAUUUUAAUAGAUUAAUUUUUAUUAUUAUUUAUAUUUUAAUUAUAGUUUUUAAUAAAUUGAAAUUUUUAUUUUAAUAUUUAUUUUUAUUUAAGUACUUAUAAAAUAUUUAAAAUUAAUUUUAUUUUUAAUUUAUAAUGAUAAAAUUAUUAGUUAUUAAUUAUAUAUUAAAUGAAUUAGACAAAAAUUAAUUCCCAACUGUUUAACAAAAACAUUUCUUUUAGAUUUAUUUUAAAAGUAAAUUCUGCCCAAUGAUUGAUUAAAUGGCCGCAGUAUUCUAACUGUGCAAAGGUAGCAUAAUAAUUAGUCCCUUAAUUGGGGACUUGUAUGAAUGAUUUCAUGAGGUAUUUAUUAUAUAUAAAUUAGUAAAUUAACUUUAUUUUUUUGUUAAAAAGCUGAAUUGUUUUAGUGGGACGAUAAGACCCUAUAGAACUUAAAUUUAAAUUAGUACAAUUAUUAAUUUUUUAGUAUUAUAUUAAUUUAUUUUUUUUCUGGGGAAGAAUAUAAAUUUUUAAUUUUAUUUUUUUAAUUCAUAUAUUUAUGUUAAUAAGGAUUUAUUUUAUAAUUUUAAGUUAAAGUUACCUUAGGGAUAACAGCGUAAUUUUUAUGGAGAGUUCAUAUCUAUAUAAAAGUUUGCGACCUCGAUGUUGAAUUAAGAUAAAAUUAGGGGGUAGAUUUUCUAAUUAUAAGUCUGUUCGACUUUUUAUUCUUACAUGAUUUGAGUUCAAACCGGUGUGAGCCAGGUUGGUUUCUAUCUUCUUGUUAAUUAAAUAAUUUAGUACGAAAGGACCAAUUAUUUUAUAUUAUAUAAUAUUAACUUGGCAGAA